AUGUGUGUACCAAAAGUCCAAGGAUGAAUGGGCUUCCCUGAUAUCCAUUGUUUCAGCCUGGCUCUGCUUGCCAAACAGGCAUGGCGUCUCCUUGAUAACCCUGAAUCCUUGUGUGCCACCAUUCUAUGGGCCAACUACUAUCCUGAUGGCGACUUGCUAAAUUCCAAGCCAAAGCGUGGUGCUUCCUUCACCUGGCAAGGCAUCAUCGCAGGCAUAACUACUCUGAAACGUGGCUAUAUUUGGCGAGUGGGGAAUAGACAUAAUAUGAACAAUUGGGAAGAUGUCUGGAUCCCAAAUUGUGCCACUAGAAAGAUUGUGACGCCUAAGGGGGGACAAUUGUUACCAAAAGUGGUGGAUUUGAAUGACCCCAUUUCCAAUAAUUGGGACGAGGACCUGAUUAGACAAGCUAUGUGGCCCAUUGACGCACAACGAAUUCUUUCAAUCCCAAUUUCGCAACAUAAUAUGACUGAUUUCAUUGCCUGGAGUUAUACAAAAAAUGGUAUGUUCGUAUGGUCUGCUUACUCUAUGGAGUGGAACUAUCAGUAUGGGAGUCAACUAAAACAUUCUAAUGGGAUGGGGCGAACCACACCUAACCCUAUAUGGUGUCAGAUAUGGAAGUUAUCAUGUCCGGCAAAAGUCAAAAUUUUCAAAUGGGGUAUGUUACAUCCUCUCCCAUGCUGGGCAACACUCGCUAAUAGACACAUGAAGGUUUCGCCCUUGUGCCCUACUUGCUCUCAGGGUGUAGAAGACACGAAACACAUGCUUUUUCUAUGUACUAAAGCAAAGGAAGUAUGGAAGAGAUUAGGGACGGAGGACAUUAUUGACAGAGCCUGUGAGGUUGAUCGUGCUGGAGAGGCGAUAUUGGAAUACCUUUUACUUCUUCCAGAGCAAGAUUUGCGUAUUAUGGGGUACCAAAAUGUAUGA
Molecule: ribosomal RNA, 924 nt
Filed under: Triticum aestivum (bread wheat)
Lineage: Eukaryota; Viridiplantae; Streptophyta; Magnoliopsida; Poales; Poaceae
Description: partial small subunit ribosomal RNA
Source: RNAcentral